GGCGAAAGCCUGAUGCAGCAACGCCGCGUGAAGGAAGAAGGGUUUCGGCUCGUAAACUUCUAUCAACAGGGACGAAAAAAAUGACGGUACCUGAAUAAGAAGCCCCGGCUAACUACGUGCCAGCAGCCGCGGUAAUACGUAGGGGGCAAGCGUUAUCCGGAAUUACUGGGUGUAAAGGGAGAGUAGGCGGGAUAUUAAGUCUGUUUUAAAAGUUCGGGGCUCAACCCCGUGAUGGAAUGGAAACUAAUAUUCUUGAGUGCAGGAGAGGAAAGUGGAAUUCCCAGUGUAGCGGUGAAAUGCGUAGAUAUUGGGAGGAACACCAGUGGCGAAGGCGACUUUCUGGACUGUGUCUGACGCUGAGGCGCGAAAGCCAGGGGAGUGAACGGGAUUAGAUACCCCGGUAAUCCUGGCCGUAAACGAUGGGUACUAGGUGUAGGAGGUAUCGACCCCUUCUGUGCCGCAGUUAACACAAUAAGUAUUCCGCCUGGGGAGUAC
This 495-nucleotide ribosomal RNA is filed under the name uncultured bacterium. RNAcentral's name for it is "bacterial SSU rRNA". It matches the Rfam family "Bacterial small subunit ribosomal RNA", at positions 374 to 883 of the family's 1533-position model. The record is from RNAcentral.